This 505-nucleotide ribosomal RNA is filed under the name uncultured bacterium. Its description in RNAcentral is "partial 16S ribosomal RNA". It matches the Rfam family "Bacterial small subunit ribosomal RNA", at positions 28 to 507 of the family's 1533-position model. The record is from RNAcentral.
GACGAACGCUGGCGGCGUGCUUAACACAUGCAAGUCGAACGGUGAAGCGCUUGCCUUUUUGGUGGGUGUGGAUGAGUGGCGAACGGGUGAGUAACACGUGAGUAACCUGCCCUCUUCUUCUGGAUAACCUCAUGAAAGUGGGGCUAAUACGGGGUAUUCCGGGUCUGUCGCAUGGCGGGUUUGGGAAAGAUUGCGCCUUUGGGUGUUUUCGGUGGGGGAUGGGCUCGCGGCCUAUCAGCUUGUUGGUGGGGUGAUGGCCUACCAAGGCGGUGACGGGUAGCCGGCCUGAGAGGGUGGACGGCCACAGUGGGACUGAGACACGGCCCAGACUCCGGCGGGAGGCAGCAGUGGGGAAUAUUGCACAAUGGGCGCAAGCCUGAUGCAGCGACGCCGCGUGAGGGAUGGAGGCCUGCGGGUUGUGAACCUCUUUCGCCAGUGAAGCAGGCCUGCCUCGUUUGUGGGUGGGUUGACGGUAGCUGGAUAAGAAGCGCCGGCUAACUACGUG